GGGGAAUCUUCCGCAAUGGGCGAAAGCCUGAUGGAGCAACGCCGCGUGAGUGAAGAAGGUCUUAGGAUCGUAAAGCUCUGUCCUUAGGGAAGAACCGUGGGUAUAGUUAAUGAUACCCACCUGACGGUACCUUUGGAGGAAGCACUGGCUAACUACGUGCCAGCAGCCGCGGUAAUACGUAGAGUGCAAGCGUUGUCCGGAAUUAUUGGGCGUAAAGGGUACGCAGGCGGAUAAUCAAGUCAAGCGUGAAAGGUGUCGGCUUAACCGACAGACUGCGUUUGAAACUGGUUAUCUUGAGUGUAACAGAGGAGAGUGGAAUUCCUAGUGUAGUGGUGAAAUACGUAGAUAUUAGGAAGAGCACCAGUGGCGAAGGCGACUCUCUGGGUUAACACUGACGCUGAGGUACGAAAGCUGGGGGAGCGAAUGGGAUUAGAUACCCCAGUAGUC
This 447-nucleotide ribosomal RNA is filed under the name uncultured Bacillota bacterium. Its description in RNAcentral is "bacterial SSU rRNA". It matches the Rfam family "Bacterial small subunit ribosomal RNA", at positions 356 to 795 of the family's 1533-position model. The record is from RNAcentral. Lineage: Bacteria; Bacillati; Bacillota.